RNAcentral lists this ribosomal RNA (454 nucleotides) under uncultured bacterium. RNAcentral describes it as "bacterial SSU rRNA". It matches the Rfam family "Bacterial small subunit ribosomal RNA", at positions 340 to 785 of the family's 1533-position model. The record is from RNAcentral.
UACGGAAGGCAGCAGUGGGGAAUAUUGCACAAUGGGCGAAAGCCUGAUGCAGCUAUGCCGCGUGUAUGAAGAAGGCCUUAGGGUUGUAAAGUACUUUCAUCGGGGAGGAAAAACAAAACUAAUAAUUUUAUUUCUUGACGUUACCCGAAAAAGAAGCACCGGCUAACUUCCGUGCCAGCAGCCGCGGUAAUACGGAGGGUGCUAGCGUUAAUCAGAAUUACUGGGCGUAAAGAGCACGUAGGUGGUUUUUUUAAGUCAGAUGUGAAUCCCUGGGCUUAACCUAGGAACUGCAUUUUGAAACUGAAAUACUAGAGUAUCGUAGAGGGAGGUAGAAUUCUAGGUGUAGCGGUGAAAUGCGUAGAUAUCUGGAGGAAUACCUGUGGCGAAAGCGGCCUCCUAAACGAAUACUGACACUGAGGUGCGAAAGCGUGGGGAGCAAACAGGGAUUAGAUCC